RNAcentral lists this ribosomal RNA (254 nucleotides) under uncultured bacterium. RNAcentral's name for it is "partial 16S ribosomal RNA". It matches the Rfam family "Bacterial small subunit ribosomal RNA", at positions 524 to 776 of the family's 1533-position model. The record is from RNAcentral.
UACGUAGGGUGCAAGCGUUGUCCGGAAUUAUUGGGCGUAAAGAGCUCGUAGGCGGUCCGUCACGUCGGGCGUGAAAACCCAGGGCUCAACCCUGGGCCUGCGUUCGAUACGGGCGGGACUAGAGUUCGGUAGGGGAGACUGGAAUUCCUGGUGUAGCGGUGAAAUGCGCAGAUAUCAGGAGGAACACCGGUGGCGAAGGCGGGUCUCUGGGCCGAUAUUGACGCUGAGGAGCGAAAGCGUGGGGAGCGAACAGG